RNAcentral lists this ribosomal RNA (3186 nucleotides) under bacterium. RNAcentral describes it as "partial 23S ribosomal RNA". It matches the Rfam family "Bacterial large subunit ribosomal RNA", at positions 131 to 2620 of the family's 2925-position model. The record is from RNAcentral.
GCCGUGUAAAACACGGCAAGCCCCGCUAAGCGGGGCGGCGAAACCUGGGGAAGCGAAACAUCAUAGUACCCAGAGGAAAAGAAAAAAAUUUCGCGCGCAAGCGCGAACCAUUCCCUUAGUAGCGGCGAGCGAACGGGGAGCAGCCCAAACUCCGCUUCGGCGGAGGGUUGUAGGACUCCAACAUGGACCCGAUUUUGAUAGUUGAAGGAACCUGGAAAGGACCACCACAGAGGGUAAUAGUCCCGUAAGCGAAAACGGCUUUAUGCUCCUUGAUACUUUUCUUAAGUACUUCGAGUCAUGAAAACCUUGAAGGAAUCCGGCCGGACUAAUCGGCCAAGGCUAAAUACUACGAUAUCUCCGAUAGUGAACCAGUACCGUGAGGGAAAGGUGAAAAGCAGCCCGUUGAGGGCGGUGAAAUAGAACCUGAAACCGUCAUGCCCACAAAGAGCGGGAGCUCCCUCCCUUAAAAGAGGGGGUGACCGCGUGCUUUUUGCAGAACGAGCCAACGAGUUUCUCUGCUUUCUUUGUUUAAGUCCCUACGGGACGUAAGCGAAGUGAAAGCGAGGGUUAAAAGCCCAUUUUUAGAAAGCGGAGAAGACCCGAAGCCAAGCGAGCUUGCCAUGAACAGGAUGAAGGUCGACGAAAGUCGACCGGAGGUCCGAACCCGUGAGCCGUGCAAUACUCUGGGAUGAUUUGUGGUAAGAAGAGAAAAACUAAACGAGCUUGGUAAUAGCUGGUUCUCCCCGAAAUAGCUUUAGGGCUAGCCUUUGCCAUUUUAUUUUCCGGAGGUAGAGCACUGGAAAGAAUAUCUUGGAGUUUCUCCAGGUACUCUUACCAAACUCCGAAUGCCGGAAAAUGUAGGCAGGGAGUAAGACUUCGAGGGCUAAGCUUCGAGGUCAUGAGGGAAACAGCCCAGAUCUUAAUCUAAGGUCCCUAAGCUGAACUAAGUGUUUUUAAGGAAGUGGGAUUCCUUUGAUAGUUAGGAGGUUAGCUUAGAAGCAGCUAUCCUUUAAAAAGUGCGUAACAGCUUACUAACUAAGGAGUCCCGCGCCGAAGAUAUACGGGGCUAAGUUCAGCACCGAAGAUAAGGCUGAGCGCUCAAUUUAUUGAGCGCUCGGGGUAGGGGAGCAUUCUUAGUGCUGUGAAGUCCACGAUGUGAGUCGGGAUGGAGCGCUAAGAAGAGAGAAUGUUGGCUUGAGUAACCGCAAUCACGCUGAAAGCGCGUGACACCGAAAGCCUAAGGUUUCCUUGGCAAUGUUAAUCAGCCAGGGGUUAGGCGGAAGCUAACUGAUCACCUAAUAGGUGAUUGGGAUGCACAGCAGGUUAAUAUUCCUGCCCGCCCGUUAAUUAAUCUCAAGAUGACACAGUUCAAACGUUCAAGGGGAUUAUUGGAUUUCCCAUUCCGCGCAAGCGGGUUCUUGAAUAAUGGACUGGCUAGAAAAGUCUUGAGUAUACUAUCUAACGGGCACCGUACCGCAAACCGACACAGGUGGGCAGGCGUAAAUGCGCCAAGGUGAACGGAUGAAAGCUCCUGAAGGAACUCGGCAAAAAAGUGGUCGUAAGUUCGCAAUAAGACCUGCCAGGUGCAAUACUGUACCUGGCUGCAACAAAAGUAUCCCAAGCGACUGUUUAUCAAAAACACAGGUCCCUGCUAACUCGCAAGAGGAUGUAUAGGGGCUGAGGCCUGACCAGUGCUGGAACGUUAAAGUUGUCGGUCUUUGUCCCGCCGUUGGCGGGGUGAGGGCUGAAUGACCUAAGCGCCAGUGAACGUCCGCGGUAACUAUAAACCCACGGAUUGUAGUUAAAAAAUCUAGCUGUAUGCGGGGAAAUCUGAAAAGUAUCUAGCGCUACUCAACUCUAAAACGUCGGAGUAUAGUAAAAAUGCGUUAGUGCAGAUUAUCCGCAGGAAAGUUUCCUUAAGUUUCCAAAAACAUAUGGAACAAUGGUUAAAGCAAAUUCCAGUUAAUAUCGGCUAUUAUUUAGCCGGUUUCGUAGACGGCGAAGGAAGUUUUAAUCUUUCUCUAAGAAAAGGUGAUGGAUAUCGAUAUGGGUGGCAACUUGGAUUGAGCUUCAAUGUAUCUCAGAGAGACGAAACUAAUCUUUUUCUUCUUAAAAGAUAUUUAGGAUGUGGAAGAUUAAAAACAAGAAGGGAUGGAGUACAUUCUUUCGUCGUUGAAAAUUUCAACUCGCUGAAAGGACGAGUAAUUCCUUUCUUCGAAAGAUUUAAUUUUCUUUCUUCUCGCGUAAAGACAAAUUUCUCGAUUUUUACAAAAAUUGUAAAAUUGAUGGAUGAAAAAAAGCAUUUAACCGAAGAUGGACUAAAAGAAAUUGUAGAGCUUAGAGAAAAAUUAAAUGAAGGAAGAGGAAGAAAACGAAAAUAUAAUUUAGAAGACGUAAAUCUAACUUAGGGAAAAUCCUCAGAGACUAUACGCUAGACCCCGCUAAGCGGGGAUGAUAUAGUCCGAUCUUUAUGGCGACAUAAAGAGUCUCGCAAAAAAUGCGAGCGUAACAUAAAUGAACCGUGUUAAAGUAGCGUAACCCCUUGCCAGGUAAGUUCUGGCCCGCAUGAAAGGUCUAACGACUUGGGAACUGUCUCCAGGAGUUGUCCGGUGAAAAUGCAAUACCGGUAAAGAUGCCGGUUACCUGCGGCUAGACGGAAAGACCCCGGGAGCUUUACUGUAGCUAGAUAUUGAAUUUUGGUUUUGAAUGCGUAGUGUAGUGGGUAGGCUUUGAGCCUCGCCUUUCGGGGCGGGGGGAGCCAACAAUGAAACACCCAUCUUUCGGAACCAUUAUCCUAACCCCCCUUCGGGGGGAGACAGUGUCUGGUGGGCAGUUUAAGUGGGGCGCUUUUCUCCUAAAGAGUAACGGAGAAGUUUAUAAGGUCGGCUAGGUCCGGAUGGAAAUCGGACUGGUCGUGUAAAGGCGUAAGCCGGCUUUACUGCGAGCAGGAUAUUGCGAGCAGUUGCGAAAGCAGAACUUAGUGAACCGACCCUGGUUUUUAGGACCGGGGAAGAUCAUCAGCCAAAAGUUACCCCGGGGAUAACAGGCUAGUAGGGCCCGCGAGUCCAUAUCAACGGCCCUGUUCGGCACCUCGAUGUCGGCUCAUCUCAUCCUGGUGGUGGAGAAGCUACCAAGGGUCCGGCUGUUCGCCGGUUAAAGAGGUACGUGAGCUGGGUUCAAACCGUC